RNAcentral lists this ribosomal RNA (253 nucleotides) under uncultured bacterium. RNAcentral's name for it is "partial 16S ribosomal RNA". It matches the Rfam family "Bacterial small subunit ribosomal RNA", at positions 524 to 776 of the family's 1533-position model. The record is from RNAcentral.
GAGGGAGGAGGCAAGCGUUAUCCGGAAUUAUUGGGCGUAAAGGGUACGUAGGCGGCUGGUCAAGUCUGGGGUCAAAGGCCACAGCUCAACUGUGGAAAGGCCCUGGAAACUGACCGGCUAGAAUGAGGUAGGGGUUGCGGGAAUUCCCGGUGUAGCGGUGAAAUGCGUAGAGAUCGGGGAGAACACCUGAGGGGGAAGCGCGCAACUGGGCCUCAACUGACGCUGAGGUACGAAAGCUAGGGGAGCGAAUGGG